Long non-coding RNA from Aethalodelphis obliquidens (Pacific white-sided dolphin), 7322 nucleotides. RefSeq lists it as uncharacterized. The transcript has 9 exons. Lineage: Eukaryota; Metazoa; Chordata; Mammalia; Artiodactyla; Delphinidae. The record is from RefSeq and is a predicted model, not a curated record.
AACCCCUCCCUAGUGUCUUUGAGAAUAUAAAGUUUUCUUCUUUCUGGGAGAAGAUCAAUUUCACAGGAAAAUGCUUGUUCACAUAAGCCCCCUUAUUGUAGGUUUCUGAAUCUUUUUAUAAGUUCAACUAUUUUUCUCCAUAAUUUAUUGGAUUUGAGGUGGAUUUUGUUAGAAACUGUGUUAAAAGAUUUCAGUCUCACACAAAGGAGUAAAGAGGAAACUUUAUGUUUUCUGUAAUUGAAUUUUGUUUCACUGGAGGCUCCGUGAUCCACAAAGGAGAGGGUUGAAGCCAUGUUGGAAAGAACACAGCCAUAAAAGUCUGCUAUGCUCCGAAGUGCGGCACUCAGGGUGCUUCUGGAGGCCGUUCGUGGACAUUGGGCUUUUGCCAGUAAAUUCAGGGCUUGUCCUGACACCCUACACUAGGGUGAGGGGUAGGGGGUACAGCCAUAGAGGUGGCUGGGCAGUGUGGUAAUGUGUGUCUGGGUGCCUGGGUGUGUCUGCACGUGUGUCUGUGUGUAUUGGCCGGGGUGCUGCAACCUUUCUCUAACUGCUGCCGCCGCCUCCAUGAGAGGCCCUUAUAGAAAUAUCCCCGUUUUACUAAUCAUAGUGUCCCUUGCAGAUUGGCCCUGGGGAUGGAUGCCAACUCGGGGCUCUCCACCAACGUUUCCUAGAGCCUUUCCAUCGGCCCCCAUGCCCAGCCCUGGCCAGUUCCUGGGAAACUAGUGGUUCCACUCCAACAGCCUCAGGUAGAAAAUUAUGUCCCGGCUCUUAUUUUUCCCUUUUGGAAUUUGUGGGAGCUAACUUCUGUGACCUGACAUGGCCAGGUUUUUGUUAAGAAAAGUUUUAUCCCAUAUCUUUUUAAAUGACUUUCUGUUUCUCAGUAAUUACAGAUUUACAGGAAGUUGCACAAACAGUACAGAGAGGUCCCCUGUACCCUUCCCCAGUUUCCCCAGUGGUUACAUCUUAGAUAAACAUAUUCAGUAUCAAAACCAGGAACUUGAUGUUGGUACAAUGUGUGUGUAUAUGCCAUACUUUUAAAUAUUCAAAGGUAAUGAAAAUAUCCGUUUCACCCCCAGGUGCCUCCCCCUUAGUCAGUCCGCAGCGCCCUGAGUCACUGCGGGCGCUGGGCCUCUGAACCCUCCCCGGGCUCGAGGUUGCCUCCUGUGUCACUAGGUGGUGAGCCUGAAAGCCGGCCCGGCUUUCUGUCCUCACGGCUCUUGACCUUCGCUUCACCACACAUGCUCACACUCCAGGGCCAGGCUUGGUGUUUGGAGCCCCCAGCCAGCGCAGGGCACCAGCCCUCACUCCUCCCUCACAGUGGCCCCCCAACGGUCCUCCCUCACAAAUGACCUCGGUCCAUUAGAGGUGUUUAGUAAUAGGAAACCUAAGUGGUCCUGGCUUUCCUCCAGCUCGCCCAGGCCUCUCCUGAGCCCCCGGGGCCCCGCUUUCUCAUCCUCCCCUCAGUGAACGCCGGAUCCUGAGUUUGCCCACGGCCGCCCAGCACCACACUGGCACCUGUCUCCAGACCUGAGUCCCAGGGGCGGGAGCUGAGAGUCAUUCCACACAAGGCCUGGUCCCUGGGGAUCAAAGUUACCCUCGGGAGCAAGCUGGGCCUCCAGCCGAGCCUUCCCAGCCCGCAGACUAAGUGAGGAAAUGAGAGCCAGGAUGUUCAACGUGCCUCUAAGACUCAUCGGAGCAAUUAGAAGUUUCCAGAAUUGCCUGGAGAAGAGAAGGCCAGCAGGUGAAGUCAAGGCUGCAGCUGGGUCGAGGAGGGAGCGCUGCUGGUGAAAGAGAAGAAUCUAGGUAGUCCUGCACUGCUGUCCAUCCUCCUGCAUGCCCAGAAGUGGAGUGGACUGGCAGACAUCCAUUAGCUUUAGGCUGCCUUCAGCGGAAGACGUGGGGAUCGAGCACCUUUCUGCUUUUUCAUCCAGGGCCACUGCAAGAGCAGUUACAUGGUACCGCGUUUGCCCCACGUCACCACCAGGAGGGUGCUGCCGCCAUGCCCUUCAGAGCUGGAGCCCCCCAGGCCGCUGGGCCAGGAGAUGCCACUGUCCGGAAGAUGUCGCUCAGACGCCACCUGACAAGGAUCUCCUCCUUGUCCUCCUUCCCUUAACUCCACCUACCCUUCAGCUUCACAGCUGCUGGCCUCCUGGCCCGUGUGACUGGAUGGAGGGGCUGGUAGGCAGGUGUGUACGACUUGAUGACAUGAUCGACCGGGCCACAUUGAGUAAGGUUACUUUCAGCCUGCUGAGGCGGGGAGAGAUGAUUGAACAAACUGCUUGUGAGCACUGAGAGUGACGCAAAACAAAGACAGUCCUCCUCCCUGUCACACGAAGACCCUCCCAACGCUGGAAGACGCGCCUUGGACCCUCCCAAAUCCUCUCGGGCUCAACGUCCUCGUUUCGUGGACCUUCCUCGCGUCGCGCAGCGUGGCAGAGGCCGCCGGCUGAUCACAGCGGGUUGCUUCUGCCCUGACGACCAGACUGCACUUCCCAGCCUCUUUGGCAGCUUUGUGACCUUGGACAAGCCACUUAACCUCUCCAAGCUUCAGUGCCAAGUAUGUAAAGUCCGGAUAAGAACAGUCCUGGAGAAGAAGGUAAGGAUAGCGUGUGGAGCCCAGCCCACAGCCUGGCGCAGGGCAGGGCUCAGGAGACGGCAGCCUCUGGGUGCUUCUGGCUCUCCCUAAGUAGUGGGGGCAUUUGGGUGGAAGAGGAAACAGCUGUGAUGCUCCCCAACGAGCUGGUGUCUACAGAAGGUCAAGCAAAGAGCAUGCAAGUGGGGAAGGAGGGAAAUGAUCCAGGUGAGGACGAGGCAGAACCCAAACAGGACUUGAUUCCUGGAAGCGCCCAGGUGUUUUCAGCAUUUGUGUAGGGAAUCUGGAUGCUUCCAGAAGAGGGGACAGAAGAGCAGGACGGAAGCUGGCGGAGUCGAUGAGGCAAUGUGUUAAACUUCACUCCGGGCGUUUGAAGGUGGGGUGGCACCAGGAAUGCCUACCCUAGUUCGCUGACCCAGGAGAAGAAUGAGACUCUUGGAGCAGAGCUCUCACCCCAGGUGUGACCUAGGCCAUCCUAGAUCCGUCGGCACAGCUACUGCAGGCGCGUGAGAGGCACGUUUCAGGUGAGCUGUACCCCACGGGCUCCUGAGAUGUACACCACCCAGGCUUGUGGUGGUUUGUUAUGUAGCACUUUAAUGGUAGUGAAUGAAUGACCACGUGAGGUGGUGGUACCCAGGGGAAGUGUCUGCCCUGCUUGCACUAGCAUUCGUGGAGGUAUGGCGUCUUCCUCUCAUGUUUCACUAACGACGUCCAUUCCUAAUGAGAUUCCCUGGCCAGAACUGUCCGUUAUCGGUGUCCACCAAGGUGGCCACAGUUCCAUGUGGCCUCAGGCUCGCAUUGGUCGUGGCGAUGCCCGUGGCCUUGCCUUCCAGGGCACCGGGAGGGUUGCCGACCUCCACCACCUCCCUGCGGCCGAGAGAGACUCAGGACUAUCAACCAGCCUCUCUUCCGCUGCUCCAGGAAAACACCUCGACUCUCCUGGCCCAGUCCUCGGUGGCAUGGGUUCUGUUUGUGCGCUGGGCGGCCCUCCCAGAGCUCCGGACGGUUAGGAGGCCCGAGCCCUCUGUCCUCGGAUUCCAAAGUCCUGUCUUAGUGACCUGGUGCCGGCCCCCCACUCCCCUUGAGAGGGGUCUGCCUCUCCUCAAGCCUGUCUCGUGUCCCUGUUGUCCUCCCCGCCCCUUCUCCGUGGACAUCAGUCCCCUUCUAAGGGCGUCCCCGCACCCGAGCCCCUUCCCCCGCAGCCUGAGCCGUCUUCACGUGGCGUGUGGUCCUCUGACUCGCAGUGCGGUGUUUAUGGCAACGCCUCUGACUGGAUCCCUUGAGCGCACUUGCCUUCAAGACAGUCAUCUCUGUGAUGGGAUUCAAGAAACGAUUUUAAUCUGAAAAGCCAGGAACUUGACCCUCUGCGCCCCAGUGUCUCUGGGUUCUUUCCAUUUUCUGGGCAUGAUGUGCUGCUGAGCACGUUGGAAAGGCUGGUAACUUGACUCAACAAGGAAAUACGUGUGAAAGAAACCAGGGUUUAUCCUGUCACAAGAAUAUGAUUACAUUGACAGUCUUUUCUUGAUCUGAGGUGAUUGACCAGUGAGAGUUUGGGGCAAAGUUGAUGAAGAGUUUGUGUGGGGAGUGAGGAGAGGUCGUGUGAGCGGGGGCCAGCGGGGUGCCGAUUCCCGUCCCAGGGCCGAUGCUGCCCUCGGGCCUCGGCGUGAGUCACUUAGCUUCUCACAGUCUCAGCUUCGUCCUCUGGAACAUGGGGUUGGACCAGGUGAUCGUUUCGUUCUCUUCCGGCUUGGAAGUCCCGUGAUGCUAGGAUUCACGCCAAGCACAACCAAGAAGGCAGAUUUCUGACCUUGCUGAAAUGACCCCCUGUCCUUCUUUAAACUGGCAGCUUUCUCUUCAGUUUCAAAGUCUGAUCAUUCCCGUAAUUAUUGUGCAGUAGUUUGACACCGGACCUUGGGUGACAACUGGACCCCAUGUAAACAUCAGAGGGUAACAGGAAAAAGAUCAUGGGCUUUGAAGUUAGACCAACCCAGGGUUUACCUUAGGAGGUGUUUAACUGAAAAUAACUAAUAAAGUCCUGACGGACCAUGGCUUCGACCAUCUGGACGUUUGCUGCUGACUCAACAGGAGUCUGGAGGUAGGAGGUCCUAAGAUUGGUUGGACAGCCCAGCCGUGUCAUCCGGGCCCUGGGCACGUGCCAGGCUUCCAUUGCAUCUUCAGCUGGUUGGCUUUAUCCUUACUGCCUCAUGGUGCUGAAAAGGCUGCCACAGGCAGACACCUUACCCUCCCACAACAUGUCCACCAGCAGGAAGGAGAGGCAGAGGAUGCCAAGGGGACCUGUCCUUGAACUGUUCUCUCCUUUCUAUCAGGGAGAAAAUCUUUGCCAGAAGUUUCUGUUCCCGCCGCUUUCUCUCCCAUCUCAUUGGCCAGAAGAGGUCCCAGGCUCACCCCAUACUAACAGUGGCAAAGGAGGACAGGAGUCUUGUGACCGGCCAAGACCAGUCAGGAUGCAUCUCUUGGGGCCAGCCAGUUUCCAUAGAAACCAGGUGCCAUUAGCACAGAAAAGGGGGCAUUAGCUCGUAGGAUCUGCCCCCACCCCCACUUUUAAAUUUGGGGUGAGCCUGAACGAAUCACUCAGCUUUUUGAGCCCCAUUUUUAGCAUCUGAAAAUGAGGGAGAAGCCUACUGACUUCACAGGCUGUGGGAGGGACUGAGUCAGACAACGUGGGGAAUGGCCCCAGAACACUUGACCGUACCCUGCACGGGCCAGGCACUCGAGCAGUGGUAACCUUGCCCUUCCCGGCAGCGCUCUGGAUGACAGCCGGUGAGGGCAGCUUUGCUGAGCUGUCAAUUCCCAGUUCCCAAUUUCGAUGAACUCCAUUUCCAGGACAAGACACGCACGAGCAUUGCCAGAGCCAACGCGUUUGGCUCCAGCGUUUACUGCUGUGACACCUGCUGCUCGAACGGGCUCUGUGCUGUUUUGUACAUGUUAGUUUUGGACAGUGGCUGCACAUUUUGUCUUCGGAUUUCUUAGUGGGGAGAGGUAGCAUCUGGCAGCAUGGCCUCCGACCGCGGCGUCUCGAGCAAGCACUGUCGCCGGCUGUGAGCUGGGAUCGGACUUCUGUGAAGGGAGAGAAGGGCAUCUGUUCAGAGAGGUGUGGCCGCCCCGGGGGAGGCCCCGUCGUCCACAUUCCCGCAGGGCUGGCUAAUGGGCCUCUCCAAACGCAAACAUGAGGCAGAACUCCAGGGCUUCUGUCCCCUCGCUGCGUACAGCCGGCCCAUCAGCCCUCCCUAAAGCCCGCCGUCUUCCCACCAUCUCCUUUUGUACAGCCCCAGGCCAGGCCGGCCUCCUGGGUUCCCCACGCAGCACCAAGUGGUGCUUCAAAGACGGACCCCACGCAGAUCCCCCCAGGCCUGGGCCCUUCCUGUAGCCUCCAGCACAGGUACAGACCGUCCCUGACUUGUGGUGGUUGGACUUGAGAUUUUUCAAGUUUAUGAUGGUGUGAAAGUGAUACACACUCGGUAGAAACUGUACUUUGAACUUUGAAUUUAGAUCUCUUCCCAGGUUAGGUAUGUGUGGGACCAUCUCUCUCGCGAUGCUGGGCGGCGCCAGCAGUCCCGCGGUCACAAGGGUCAACAGCCAAUACGCCUGCAGCCACUCUGUACCCGGACACUUUGUUUUUCACUUUCAGUACAGUAUUCAGAAAAUCACAAGAGAUAAUGCAACACGUUAUUGUAAGACAGGCUUUGUGCUAGACGAUUUUGCCCCAGUGUAGGCUAAUGUAGGUGUUCUGAGCACGUUUAGGGUGGGUGAGGCUGAGCUAUGAUGUCCGGUAGGUUUGCUGUAUUACAUGCAUUUCAACCUUUACGGUAUUUUCGAUUUACAAUGGGUUUAUCAGAUGUGACCCCAUCAUAAGUCGAGGAAGACCUGUAGAAUAAAAUCCAGCCCUUUCCUCGGCCCAAGGCCUCAUGAUCCGGCCCCGUCCACCUCUCAGCCCCUUCCUCGCACAGGGCCGGCUUCACAGGCACCACGUCUGCCGUCCCGCCGGUCCCACGCUUCCUUCUUCCUCUGCUGUCGCCGUCUGGAAUCCUGAAUAAUUUGUGAACGAGGGCCCGCGUUUUCAUUUUGCACUGGGCCCUGCAGAUUGUGUCCUGUCCUCACAUCCUCCUGCUGUUGGCCACACUCCAGCUCUCCUGGUCCCUGGAGCGCCCAGGCUGCUUCUCCUCUGGGGCCUUGGCCGUUGCCCCCGCUCUUUGCAGGGCCCCUGCCUUUUCAGCGGGCGACCUCAGAGGGGACUCCCGCCCACACUCCCCCCCGCCUGCCCAAUAUCCACCCACCGCUACACUCCAGGCUCACCCUGUCCCUGUCACACCAGGGUCCUCACACUUCAGACAGCGCCCAGCACAGUGCGAGUACUCGAUACACAGGUGCUGCGUGAGUGAAGGACAUAGAGCAGCUGUCAGUUCCAGAACUUAGGCUCUGUUUCUGGCCUGAAGGUAGUAACUGUGGGAGUUAGAAAGUGUUGCUCACAGAAAGAGUUAACUGCUCUGUGACUUUGAUUUGGGACGGGGGUCAGCUGAAGGAGAGAGAGGGAGUGCGGCAGCCCCUUCGGUGGGGCCAGCACUGGCUUCUGCAGAGACGCGAUUAACUGAAUGUUCUGAACACUCAGUGAAGAGCUCUGAUGACUUAAUAAAAUUAGGAACUGCAGUAAAGGACAGUGCCCGGAAGAAGAGCACCUUACACACACACACACAUCUAUACACCUACCCAU